GAAAAUGUCUACAGCAUUUUCAAUAAAGGGUUCCUUGACUAGAACAAGCUACUGAAACCCAACAUGUAAAUCUAGAAGAUGCCAAGGUCUGCAUGACAACAGCGGAAACAAAGAUGCAGCUAACCGCUAUUCUCCUAUCUUGCCUUGAGCUUCACCUAUCUUCCAUAGGGGUGGUAACGGCCAGCACUAGAACCGGUACCAGGACCAGCACCUGUGCCAGCACCAGCACCACCAACACCAUAGCUGCUCCUACCAUAGAGUCCACCUGAACCAUAACCAGUACCUGGGCCAGCA
RNAcentral lists this unclassified non-coding RNA (294 nucleotides) under Hevea brasiliensis (rubber tree). Lineage: Eukaryota; Viridiplantae; Streptophyta; Magnoliopsida; Malpighiales; Euphorbiaceae. The record is from RNAcentral.